RNAcentral lists this ribosomal RNA (777 nucleotides) under Austrochloritis sp. AM C.506321. RNAcentral describes it as "partial large subunit ribosomal RNA". The record is from RNAcentral. Lineage: Eukaryota; Metazoa; Mollusca; Gastropoda; Stylommatophora; Camaenidae.
UUAACUAAAAUAUUUUAUAUUAUUUAACACGAAGUUGAGGGAGCUAAUUAUUAUAUAUUUAUAGAUACCAAGAUGUUGCAUAAUUAAAUAAAUAAUAAUUUGGAGUGAUAGGCUUUUCACACUCAGCGAUAACUUGAUAGUUAAGAAAUGUAUAAGUACAUGGGCACUCUUGAAGUGAUAAGGUUUUAAGGGAUUAACAAAUAAUUAUAAUUAAUAAGUAUUUUGUUUAAUCACUUAUACAAUAACAAUAUAAUAUAAUUUUAUUUGGUUUGUUUAAUAUAUUAACUAAUAUUUUAAUAAUAGCAUAUAUUAAAAAUGUUGAUAUUAGUACCUAAAAGUUGUAAAUGAAGAACUCGGCAAUAUGUCCUUCAACUGUUUACCAAAAACAUAGCCAUAUGAAUUAAUAUAUGGUGUUUUCUGCUCAAUGAAUAUUAAAUAGCCGCAGUACCUUGACUGUGCUAAGGUAGCGCAAUCAAUUGACUUUUAAUUGAAGUCCAGAAUGAAAGAAAUUAUGGGGGACUACUUUCUUGUUAACAAUAAGAGAAUUUACUUAUGAAGUGCAAAUUCUUCUAUUAAAAUAAUAGACGAGAAGACCCUAGAAAUUUUAAAGAAUUUACCUUUUUGUUGGGGCAACAAAGUAACAUUAUUAAACUUACUUUAAUAACAAGAAAGAUAUAUCUUGAAAGUUUAAAUUACUCUAGGGAUAACAGCAUAAUUUGUUAAAGUUUGUGACCCUCCAAUUUUUGGAAUUAGGGGAAAUCUUACGUUUUAGAAAAA